UGAAGGUGUUGAUGGUGGUUUUAGUGAUGGUGCUGAUGAUGGUGAUGCUGAAGGUCUUGGUGAUGGUGAUGGUGUUGGUGAUAGUGAUGGUGAUGGUAUAGGUGAUGCUGAAGGUGUUGAUGGAUUUAGUGAUAGUGCUGGUGAUGGCCAUGAUGCUGAAGUUGUUGGUGAUGGUGUUGGUGGUGCUGAAGGUGUUGGUGAUGGUGAUAGUGCUGGUGAUGGUGAUGCUGAUGGUGUUGGUGAUGUUGAUGGAUUUAGUGAUAGUGCUGGUGAUGGCCGUGAUGGUGUUGGUGAUGCUGAAGGUGUUGAUGUUGGUGUUAGUGAUAGUGCUGGUAAUGGUCGUGAUGCUGAAGGUGUUGUGGUGGUUCUGAAGGUGUUGGUGGUUUUAGUGAUAGUGCUGGUGAUGGCUAUGUUGGUGAUGGUGUUGGUGAUGCUGAAAGUGUUGGUGUUAGUGCUGGUGAUGGCCAUGAUGCUGAAGGAGUUGGUGAAGCUGAAGGUGUUGAUGCUAGUGAUGGUGAUGGUCAUGAUGGGGAUGCUGAAGGUGUUGAUGUUGGUGUUAGUGAGUGCUGGUGAUGGUUAUGAUGUUGGUGUUGGUGAUGCUGAAGGUGUUGGUGAUGCUGAAGGUGUUGAUGUUGGUGUUGGUGAUAGUGCUGGUGAUGGUCAUGAUGUUGGUGUUGGUGAUGCUGAAGGUGUUGAUGUUGGUGUUAGUGAGUGCUUGUGAUGGUCAUGAUGUUGGUGUUGGUGAUGCUGAAGGUGUUGGUGUUGGUGAUGCUGAAGGUGUUGAUGUUGGUGUUGGUGAUAGUGCUGGUGAUGGUCAUGAUGUUGGUGUUGGUGAUGCUGAAGGUGUUGGUGAUGCUGAAGGUGCUGAUGUUGGUGAUAGUGCUGGUGAUGGUCAUGAUGUUGGUAUUGGUGAUGCUGAAGGUGUUGAUGUUGGUGUUGGUGAUAGUGCUGGUGAUGGUCAUGAUGUUGGUAUUGGUGAUGCUGAAGGUGUUGAUGUUGGUGUUGGUGAUAGUGCUGGUGAUGGUUAUGAUGUUGGUGUUGGUGAUGCUGAAGGUGUUGAUGGUGUUGGUGAUAGUGCUGGUGAUGGUUAUGAUGUUGGUGUUGGUGAUAGUGCUGGUGAUGGUCAUGAUGUUGGUGUUGGUGAUGCUGAAGGUGUUGAUGUUGGUGUUGGUGAUAGUGCUGGUGAUGGUUAUGAUGUUGGUGUUGGUGAUAGUGCUGGUGAUGGUCAUGAUGCUGAUGGUGUUGGUAAUGGUGAUGGUAUUGAUGGUAUUGCUGUUGUGAGCAGUGGUGUGUGGGAUGGAGAGAUGAAGAAGAAGAAGAAGAAGAAGAAGAAGAAGAAGAAGAAGAAGAAGAAGAGCAGGAGGCGGAGAACGAGGAGGAGGAGAAAAUGAAUGAUGGCAGUAUUGGAGCUGCAAAGAG
This is a long non-coding RNA of Ictalurus punctatus (channel catfish), 1419 nucleotides long. The record is from Ensembl. Lineage: Eukaryota; Metazoa; Chordata; Actinopteri; Siluriformes; Ictaluridae.